RNAcentral lists this ribosomal RNA (253 nucleotides) under uncultured bacterium. Its description in RNAcentral is "partial 16S ribosomal RNA". It matches the Rfam family "Bacterial small subunit ribosomal RNA", at positions 524 to 776 of the family's 1533-position model. The record is from RNAcentral.
UACGGAGGGUGCAAGCGUUAUCCGGAUUCACUGGGUUUAAAGGGUGCGUAGGUGGGCUAGUAAGUCAGUGGUGAAAUCUCCGGGCUUAACCCGGAAACUGCCAUUGAUACUAUUAGUCUUGAAUACCAUGGAGGUGAGCGGAAUAUGUCAUGUAGCGGUGAAAUGCUUAGAUAUGACAUAGAAUACCAAUUGCGAAGGCAGCUGGCUACACGAAUAUUGACACUCAGGCACGAAAGCGUGGGGAUCAAACAGG